RNAcentral lists this ribosomal RNA (162 nucleotides) under Phytopythium vexans. Its description in RNAcentral is "5.8S ribosomal RNA". It matches the Rfam family "5.8S ribosomal RNA". From Rfam's summary of the family: 5.8S ribosomal RNA (5.8S rRNA) is a component of the large subunit of the eukaryotic ribosome. It is transcribed by RNA polymerase I as part of the 45S precursor that also contains 18S and 28S rRNA. Functionally, it is thought that 5.8S rRNA may be involved in ribosome translocation. The record is from RNAcentral. Lineage: Eukaryota; Oomycota; Peronosporomycetes; Pythiales; Pythiaceae.
UAACAACUUUCAGCAGUGGAUGUCUAGGCUCGCACAUCGAUGAAGAACGCUGCGAACUGCGAUACGUAAUGCGGAUUGCAGGAUUCAGUGAGUCAUCGAACUUUUGAACGCAUAUUGCACUUUCGGGUUACGCCUGGAAGUAUGUCUGUAUCAGUGUCCGUA